UGCGGAUGUGGUGGAGUGGAACCACGCGGGAGUCAUGAUCCCGAGACGCCGUUCGAGUCGGACAUCCGCAACCA
Molecule: transfer RNA, 74 nt
Filed under: Actinocatenispora thailandica
Lineage: Bacteria; Bacillati; Actinomycetota; Actinomycetes; Micromonosporales; Micromonosporaceae
Also listed under: 1 other name
Description: tRNA-Met
Rfam family: tRNA
About the family: Transfer RNA (tRNA) molecules are approximately 80 nucleotides in length. Their secondary structure includes four short double-helical elements and three loops (D, anti-codon, and T loops). Further hydrogen bonds mediate the characteristic L-shaped molecular structure. tRNAs have two regions of fundamental functional importance: the anti-codon, which is responsible for specific mRNA codon recognition, and the 3' end, to which the tRNAs corresponding amino acid is attached (by aminoacyl-tRNA synthetases). tRNAs cope with the degeneracy of the genetic code in two manners: having more than one tRNA (with a specific anti-codon) for a particular amino acid; and 'wobble' base-pairing, i.e. permitting non-standard base-pairing at the 3rd anti-codon position.
Source: RNAcentral